Molecule: ribosomal RNA, 554 nt
Filed under: uncultured bacterium
Lineage: Bacteria
Description: partial 16S ribosomal RNA
Rfam family: Bacterial small subunit ribosomal RNA
Source: RNAcentral
UGGGGAAUAUUGGACAAUGGGCGAAAGCCUGAUCCAGCCAUGCCGCGUGUGUGAAGAAGGUCUUCGGAUUGUAAAGCACUUUAAGUUGGGAGGAAGGGCAGUAAAUUAAUACUUUGCUGUUUUGACGUUACCGACAGAAUAAGCACCGGCUAACUCUGUGCCAGCAGCCGCGGUAAUACAGAGGGUGCAAGCGUUAAUCGGAAUUACUGGGCGUAAAGCGCGCGUAGGUGGUUCGUUAAGUUGGAUGUGAAAUCCCCGGGCUCAACCUGGGAACUGCAUUCAAAACUGACGAGCUAGAGUAUGGUAGAGGGUGGUGGAAUUUCCUGUGUAGCGGUGAAAUGCGUAGAUAUAGGAAGGAACACCAGUGGCGAAGGCGACCACCUGGACUGAUACUGACACUGAGGUGCGAAAGCGUGGGGAGCAAAACAGGAUUAGAUACCCUGGUAGUCCACGCCGUAAACGAUGUCAACUAGCCGUUGGGAGCCUUGAGCUCUUGAGUGGCGCAGCUAACGCAUUAAGUUGACCGCCUGGGGAGUACGGCCGCAAGGUUAAAA